Molecule: ribosomal RNA, 119 nt
Organism: Aethalodelphis obliquidens (Pacific white-sided dolphin)
Lineage: Eukaryota; Metazoa; Chordata; Mammalia; Artiodactyla; Delphinidae
Source: RefSeq, a predicted model, not a curated record
GCCUAUGGCCAUACCGCCCUGAAUGCGCCCGAUCUCUUCUGAUCUCGGAAGCUAAGCAGGGUCGGGCCUGGUUAGUACUUGGAUGGGAGACUACCUGGGAAUACCAGCUGCAGUAGGCU